Molecule: RNA transcript, 3115 nt
Organism: Ailuropoda melanoleuca (giant panda)
Lineage: Eukaryota; Metazoa; Chordata; Mammalia; Carnivora; Ursidae
Gene: NUP88
Gene name: nucleoporin 88
Exons: 18
Source: RefSeq, a predicted model, not a curated record
GCGCGCGGAGUCACUGGGGCGUCGGGCGCAGUUGGACGAAGAUGGCUGCCGCCGAAGGUCCCGCGGGCGACGGGGAGCCGUGGCAGUCCUGGCUUCCCAACCACGUCGUGUUCCUGCGCCUCCGCGAGGGGCUGAAGAACCAGAGCCCUGCCGAAGCUGAGAAGCCGGCGUCUUCGUCGCCGCCCUCGCCGCCGCCGCCGCCGCCGCUGACGAGGAACCUGGUUUUGGGCCUGGGCGGAGAGCUCUUCCUGUGGGACGGCGACGGCAGCUCCUUCCUGGUGGUCCGUCUGCGGGGCCUCGGCGGCGCGGGCGAGGAGCCCUCCCUGUCCCAGUACCAGAGAUUGCUCUGCAUAAAUCCACCCCUGUUUGAAAUCUAUCAAGUCCUGUUAAGUCCAACACAGCGUCAUAUAGCACUUAUAGGAAUAAAAGGACUCAUGGUGUUAGAACUGCCUAAAAGAUGGGGGAAGAAUUCUGAAUUUGAAGGUGGAAAAUCAACAGUGAACUGUAGUACCACUCCCGUUGCUGAGAGAUUUUUCACCAGUUCUCCGUCUCUGACUCUGAAGCACGCUGCCUGGUACCCCAGUGAGCUGCUGGACCCCCACAUCGUGCUGUUGACAUCAGAUAAUGUGAUAAGGAUUUACUCCCUGCGCGAGCCUCAGACCCCCGCCAGGGUCAUCGUGCUUUCAGAAACGGAAGAGGAGAGCCUAGUACUCAAUAAAGGGCCGGUUUCUAAAUGUCUUUUCAGGAGGGCGUAUACCGCGUCCCUGGGGGAGACAGCAGUCGCAUUUGACUUUGGGCCAGUGUCCGCGGUCCCGAAGAGCAUGUUCGGGCAGAAGGGCAAAGGGGACGUUGUGGCACACCCGCUGUACAUCCUGUAUGAGAACGGGGAGACCUUCCUCACGUACGUCAGCCUGGCGCACAGCCCCGGGAGCGUGGGGAAGCUGCUGGGCCCCCUGCCCAUGCACCCCGCAGCGGAAGAUAACUACGGCUACGACGCGUGUGCCAUCCUCUGCCUGCCCUGCGUGCCCAACAUCCUGGCGAUCGCCACCGAGUCGGGAGUGCUGUAUCACUGCGUCGUGCUGGAAGGGGAGGAGGAGGACGACCAAACAUCGGAGAAGUCCUGGGACUCCAGGGCCGACUUCAUCCCCUCUCUGUACGUGUUCGAGUGUGUGGAGCUGGAGCUCGCCCUGACGCUCGCCGCCGGGGACGACGACCCCUUCGAUUCUGACUUUGCUUGUCCGAUCAGACUGCACAGAGAUCCCAAGUGUCCCUCAAGAUACCACUGCACUCACGAAGCCGGCGUGCACAGCGUUGGGCUCACGUGGAUUCAUAAACUUCAGAAGUUUCUUGGGUCAGAUGAGGAAGAUAAGGACAGCUUGCAGGAGCUCGCCGCCGAGCAGAAGUGCUUCGUGGAGCACAUCCUGUGCACGAAGCCGCUGCCCUGCAGGCAGCCGGCGCCCAUCCAAGGGUUCUGGAUCGUCCCCGACAUCCUGGGGCCCACGAUGGUCUGCGUCACCAGCACCUACGAGUGCCUCAUAAGGCCCUUGUUAAGCACGGUCCACCCGGCGUCUCCUCCCCUGCUUUGUACCCGAGAAGACGUGGCGGCGGCAGAGUCUCCCCUCCGCAUUCUGGCCGAAACCCCGGAUUCCUUCGAAAAGCACAUUAGAAGCAUUUUGCAGCGUAGCGUUGCGAAUCCCGCCUUUCUGAAGUCAUCUGACAAGGACGCAGCGCCCGCCCCGGAGGACUGUCUGCAGCUGCUCAGCAGGGCCACGCAGGUGUUCCGAGAGCAGUACGUCCUGAAGCAGGACCUGGCCAAGGAGGAGAUCCAGCGCAGGGUCAGGUUAUUAUGUGACCAAAAGAAGAAACAACUGGAAGACCUCAGUUACUGCCGCGAGGAGAGGAAGUGUCUGCGGGAAAUGGCGGAGCGCUUGGCUGACAAAUACGAGGAAGCCAAGGAGAAACAGGAGGAUCUCAUGAACAGGAUGAAGAUGGUGCUGCACAGGUUCCACACCCAGCUCCCCGUCCUGUCCGACAGCGAGAGGGACAUGAAGAGGGAGCUGCAGCUGAUUCCCGAGCAGCUGCGCCACCUGGGCAACGCCAUCAAGCAGGUCACCAUGAAGAAGGACUAUCAGCAGCGGAAGAUGGAGAAGGUGCUGAGCCCGCAGAGACCCGCCAUCGCCCUCAGCGCCUACCAGCGCAAGUGCAUCCAGUCCGUCCUGAAGGAGGAGGGCGAGCGCAUAAGAGAGAUGGUGCAGCAGAUCAACGACAUCCGAAACCAUGUCAGCUUCUGAGCGCGGGAGCAGGUCCCCACGAGCGGACGGCGCAGGCUCGAACAGCUGGCGUCACCUAAGCUACAGGCGUUGCCGAGGAACUUGAUGCUGUAGCGGCGCCAGGACCGUGGCGGACAGAACCCGGACUGAGCGGAGGCGGCCACGCGGCGUGUGAGGGAGCAGCUGUUUAACACCAGCGCUUUCCUACGGACACGUGUCCAGUCCGAUCACACGGUCACCACUGCGGCCGCCCAGAGCCGGGCGCAGGGGCCACCCUUCGGAGCAGCGCCGGGCCGUGCACGGUCCCCGUCAGGUACCGGGUGGGUCGGACCUCGGGAGAGAAGCCUCGCCGGGCGCGGGUUUGUCAGGUGGCGCCAGUCGGGUCUCGUUCCUGCCGGUGUGAGCUCUGGAAGGUGGACACAGCAGAGUGACCGCCACGGAAGAGCCAGGAGGGAAGGGAGGUUCCAGGUGUGAGGGCGGGUCAGACGUGUGAGCACGGACACUCGGGGAACCCGGCUGACCUGUCCUUUGUCUGCGGGGGCUGAAUCCCACCUCCUCGGCCACUUCCUGUUGCACAUACGACCCGGUUUCAAGCAGUGCGUCCUCCACGGGCAGCUUGACCGCUGCCACACCAGAAAGACCGAGCAGAACCUGGAGUCUGUGUUCGGGUUUCUCUAGGUGGUUCUCAGCUGGGUUCCCCCAGUUCGCCUCCGCCACGCGUAGACUGCCGUUAGUCCCCGAGGAGGUCUGGGAGGUGCUGGCGUUCCCUGGGAGCCGGACGGAGGCCGUCCGCAAGGUCAUGAUGCAGCCGCAUCCUCUGACAUUCGCCCGCGGCUCAGCCAUGU